RNAcentral lists this ribosomal RNA (366 nucleotides) under uncultured bacterium. Its description in RNAcentral is "partial 16S ribosomal RNA". It matches the Rfam family "Bacterial small subunit ribosomal RNA", at positions 338 to 696 of the family's 1533-position model. The record is from RNAcentral.
CCUACGGGUGGCAGCAGUAGGGAAUCUUCCACAAUGGGCGAAAGCCUGAAGGAGCAAAGUAGCGUGGGUGAAGAAGGUCUUCGGAUCUUAAAACUCUGUUGAUAGAGAAGUAAGAGCGUGAGAGUAACUGUUUACGCUUCGACGGUAUCUAACCAGAACGCCUCGGCUCACUACGUGCCAGCCGCUGCGGUAAUACGUAGGUGGCAAGCGUUAUCCGGUUUUAUUGGGCGUAAAGGGAACGCAGGCGGUCGUUUAAGUCUGAUGUGAAAGCCUUCGGCUUAACCGGAGUAGUGCAUUGGAAACUGGGAGACUUGAGUGCAGAAGAGGUGGGUGGAACUCGAUGUGUAGCGGUGAAAUGCGUAGAUA